This 2525-nucleotide long non-coding RNA is filed under the name Piliocolobus tephrosceles (Ugandan red Colobus). RNAcentral's name for it is "lncRNA (ENSPTEG00000009668.1)". The record is from RNAcentral. Lineage: Eukaryota; Metazoa; Chordata; Mammalia; Primates; Cercopithecidae.
AUAAAAACAGUAACUUCUUCCCACUCUCCUCCCUGUCGGUUGGUUAAGUGGGCAGGAAGUAAGCAGAUAGUAAAAUCAAAGACAAGAGCUAAUGAUUUAAGAAGGAGGAAAAAAAAUCUGUGGUUGAAGAACAAUGUACAUGAUCCUUAGAAUUAGAAAAUAUAUACGACUUCAUUAAUGUUUAUUUAAACAUAUAAAGGGUUUGUUGCCAGACACACGGGGCUGGAAUUCUGGUUCCGCCACCCAACCUAUUUGACCUUGGAUGAAUCAAAACCGUCUGAGCCUUAGCUUCCUCCUCCAAAAAAUGGGAGUUUUAUAAAGCUGUUGUGAGGAGCAGACGUGAUCAUCUAUGGAGAGCAUGUAUAUUUGCUAAUAGGCGAAAAAUGCCAUGAAUGAUUACAGUUAUAACUCAUACAGUCAGCUAACAUUAGAGACUCAGGAGUUUCCACCACAGAACAGAGGACUGACUGGAAUCAAAGCUCACCCCUUUCUUAGAGGCCAUUCUUUGAUGUGUCAGACACCCUUCACAGCCAACCUUUGAAACGAAGAGAGACGCGAAAUAAUUGGGCCAAAUGUAGACAAUGCUUCAGAAAUGAAGAUGGGUAGAACUUGAGGAGAUAUGGGAAAAUCUACAUUCCUUUUACCCAUGCUCUCAACUUUUUACCCAUUUCCACAAUUCUUUUAUUUCUUGGAAGUAAAAUAGGAUUUGACGGAACUAUAAUAUAUUAAUCUCACAUUCAUGUGAUUGAAUCAUUGGAAGUCAUCCCAGGCUUGAGAGCAAAGAAUGAAUAAGAGACAGGAGGAAAUCUGCAUUCAACAUGGACCUAGUUUUUUCAGCCAAAACAAAUGGCACAUUGGGAGACACUGCAAUUCAUGAAAAGCUUGUUGCCACAAUAGUCCUUCUCGAAACUUCUUUUUUCCCCAUAUAAUAUAGUAAAAAGUGGCCGUGCAUAGGCUGGGCGCAGUGGCUCACACCUGUAAACCCAGCACUUUGGGAGGCCAAGGAGGGUGGAUCAUGAAGUCGGGAGAUCGAGACCAUCCUAGCUGACACAGUGCAACCCCGUCAUUACUAAAAAUACAAAAAAUUAGCCAGGCGUGGCGGCGGGCGCCUAUAGUCCUAGCUACUUGGGAGGCUGAGGCAGGAGAAUGGCGUGAACCCGGGAGGUGGAGCUUGCAGUGAGCUGAGAUCCGGCCACUGCACUCCAGCCUGGGCGACAGAGCAAGACUCUGCCUCAAAAAAAAAAAAAAAAAAAAAAAGUAGCCGUGCACAGUGGCUCACAACUGUAAUCCCAGCACUCUGGGAGCCCAAGGCAGGUGUAUCACUGGAGGUCAAGAGUUCGAAACCAGCCUGGCCAACAUGGUGAAACCCGUCUCUACUUAAAAAAAAAAAAAAUUAGCUGUGCGUGGUGGUGCUCACCCGUAGUCCCAGGUACUCAGGAGGCUAAGGCAGGAGAGUCGCUUGAACCAUGGAGGUGGAUGUUACAGUGAGCUGAGAUCAUGUCACUGCACUCUAGCCUGGGUCACAGAGUGAGACUCCCUAUCAAAAAAAUUAAAAAACUAAAAUGAAACAAACAAACAAAAAAAUAUAUGUAUGUAACCAGCUGCCAGUUAUAAAGUAGCAAAUAGGCUGCUGACCUAUCUCUAAUAGAUGAGUAUCCACUAAUUAAAAAUGAAAUACAAUUUAGUCUAAGCCCAACCUAGAUUGAAAAAGAGCCAUCAUACAUUCUUCAGAAGGUAAUAAUACAAUUCUGGCCAAAGGAAUGUUUAAAGAUGACAAGUACAAGAAGUUAGGAAGUUUUAUGUAGUUAUUUUACUCUACCAAAACAAAAUGAGGUAUCUGCUAGGAUGUCUAUUAAAACAAAUUAUCACAGUCAUGCAUAGCAUAACAAUGUUUCAAUCAACAGUGGGCCCAAUAUACAAUGGUGGUCCUGUAAGGAGCUGAAAAAUUCCUGUUGCCUAGUGAUACUGUCUUUGUCCUAAGGUCUUAUUGCAACACAUUACUCACAUGUUUGUGGUGAUGCUGGUAUAAACAAACCUAAUGUGUUGCCAUUUGUGUAAAAGUGGAGCACAUACAAUUAUGUACAGUACAGAAUACUUCAUAAUGAAAAGUGGCUAUUACUGGUUUAUGUAUUUUAAACAGGCACUCCUUGCAAUUUCCUAUUGAUACUAUACUUUAUUAUUUUUAAGUAUAUUCCUGGUCAGGCAUGUGGCUGACACCUGUAAUCCCAGCACUUUGGGAGGCCAAGGCAGAAGGAUCACUUGAGGCCAGGAGACUGAAACCAGCCUGGGUACAUAACGAGACCCCUUCUCUACAAAGAAAUGAAAAAAUUGGUUGGGCAUAGUGGUGUGCACCUGUAGUCCCAGCUACUAGGGAGGCUGAGGCAGGAGGAUCACUUGAGCCCAGGAGUCUAAGGCUGCAGUGAGCUAUGAUCUUACCACUGCAGUCCAGCCUGGGUAACAGAGUGAGACCCCAUCUCUAAAGAAAAAAAAAUAAAGAAAAUGAAGCUAUUGAGUUUAUUUAUUUA